This 75-nucleotide transfer RNA is filed under the name Candidatus Peregrinibacteria bacterium. Its description in RNAcentral is "tRNA-Arg". It matches the Rfam family "tRNA". From Rfam's summary of the family: Transfer RNA (tRNA) molecules are approximately 80 nucleotides in length. Their secondary structure includes four short double-helical elements and three loops (D, anti-codon, and T loops). Further hydrogen bonds mediate the characteristic L-shaped molecular structure. tRNAs have two regions of fundamental functional importance: the anti-codon, which is responsible for specific mRNA codon recognition, and the 3' end, to which the tRNAs corresponding amino acid is attached (by aminoacyl-tRNA synthetases). tRNAs cope with the degeneracy of the genetic code in two manners: having more than one tRNA (with a specific anti-codon) for a particular amino acid; and 'wobble' base-pairing, i.e. permitting non-standard base-pairing at the 3rd anti-codon position. Lineage: Bacteria; Candidatus Peregrinibacteriota. The record is from RNAcentral.
CUCCCCGUAGUUCAAUGGAUAGAACACCCGCCUUCUAAGCAGGUAAUGGAGGUUCGAUUCCUCCCGGGGAGACCA